This 24-nucleotide non-coding RNA is filed under the name Arabidopsis thaliana (thale cress). The record is from RNAcentral. Lineage: Eukaryota; Viridiplantae; Streptophyta; Magnoliopsida; Brassicales; Brassicaceae.
UCCCGCCAAUAACGUAAACCCGUC